Molecule: ribosomal RNA, 1407 nt
Filed under: metagenome
Description: bacterial SSU rRNA
Rfam family: Bacterial small subunit ribosomal RNA
Source: RNAcentral
GUGGCGAACGGGUGAGUAAUGUAUCGGAACGUACCAUUCAGUGGGGGAUAACGUAGCGAAAGUUACGCUAAUACCGCAUAUUCUGUGCGCAGGAAAGCAGGGGAUCGCAAGACCUUGCGCUGAUUGAGCGGCCGAUAUCAGAUUAGCUAGUUGGUGGGGUAAAAGCUCACCAAGGCGACGAUCUGUAGCGGGUCUGAGAGGAUGAUCCGCCACACUGGAACUGAGACACGGUCCAGACUCCUACGGGAGGCAGCAGUGGGGAAUUUUGGACAAUGGGGGCAACCCUGAUCCAGCCAUGCCGCGUGAGUGAAGAAGGCCUUCGGGUUGUAAAGCUCUUUCGGCCGGGAAAAAACCGCAUGGGUUAAUACCCUGUGUGGAUGAUGGUACCGGAAUAAGAAGCACCGGCUAACUACGUGCCAGCAGCCGCGGUAAUACGUAGGGUGCGAGCGUUAAUCGGAAUUACUGGGCGUAAAGCGUGCGCAGGCGGUUUUGUAAGACAGGCGUGAAAUCCCCGGGCUCAACCUGGGAACUGCGCUUGUGACUGCAAGGCUAGAGUAUGGCAGAGGGGGGUGGAAUUCCACGUGUAGCAGUGAAAUGCGUAGAGAUGUGGAGGAACACCAAUGGCGAAGGCAGCCCCCUGGGCCAAUACUGACGCUCAUGCACGAAAGCGUGGGUAGCAAACAGGAUUAGAUACCCUGGUAGUCCACGCCCUAAACGAUGUCAACUAGGUGUUGGGAGGGUAAAACCUUUUAGUACCGGAGCUAACGCGUGAAGUUGACCGCCUGGGGAGUACGGCCGCAAGGUUAAAACUCAAAGGAAUUGACGGGACCCGCACAAGCGGUGGAUGAUGUGGAUUAAUUCGAUGCAACGCGAAAAACCUUACCUACCCUUGACAUGUCCAGGAGCCUGAAGAGAUUUGGGUGUGCCCGAAAGGGAACUGGAACACAGGUGCUGCAUGGCUGUCGUCAGCUCGUGUCGUGAGAUGUUGGGUUAAGUCCCGCAACGAGCGCAACCCUUGUCGUUAAUUGCCAUCAUUCAGUUGGGCACUUUAACGAGACUGCCGGUGACAAACCGGAGGAAGGUGGGGAUGACGUCAAGUCCUCAUGGCCCUUAUGGGUAGGGCUUCACACGUCAUACAAUGGUCGGUACAAAGGGUUGCCAACCCGCGAGGGGGAGCCAAUCCCAGAAAGCCGAUCGCAGUCCGGAUUGCAGGCUGCAACUCGCCUGCAUGAAGUCGGAAUCGCUAGUAAUCGUGGAUCAGCAUGUCACGGUGAAUACGUUCCCGGGUCUUGUACACACCGCCCGUCACACCAUGGGAGCGGGUUCCGCCAGAAGUAGGUAGCCUAACCGCAAGGGGGGCGCUUACCACGGCGGGGUUCGUGACUGGGGUGAAGUCGGAACAAGGUA